GAAAUGCGAUAAGUAGUGUGAAUUGCAGAAUUCAGUGAAUCAUCGAAUCUUUGAACGCACAUUGCGCCCCUUGGUAUUCCAUGGGGCAUGCCUGUUCGAGCGUCAUUUACACCCUCAAGCUUUGCUUGGUGUUGGGCGUCUGUCUCCCCCCCCGUCUUUGACCUCGGAUCAGGUAGGGAUACCCGCUGAACUUAAGC
This 197-nucleotide unclassified non-coding RNA is filed under the name plant metagenome. Its description in RNAcentral is "partial contains 5.8S ribosomal RNA, internal transcribed spacer 2, and large subunit ribosomal RNA". The stretch from base 1 to 105 matches the Rfam family "5.8S ribosomal RNA", at positions 50 to 154 of the family's 154-position model. From Rfam's summary of the family: 5.8S ribosomal RNA (5.8S rRNA) is a component of the large subunit of the eukaryotic ribosome. It is transcribed by RNA polymerase I as part of the 45S precursor that also contains 18S and 28S rRNA. The record is from RNAcentral.